This 500-nucleotide ribosomal RNA is filed under the name uncultured bacterium. Its description in RNAcentral is "bacterial SSU rRNA". It matches the Rfam family "Bacterial small subunit ribosomal RNA", at positions 28 to 507 of the family's 1533-position model. The record is from RNAcentral.
GACGAACGCUGGCGGCGUGCCUAAUACAUGCAAGUCGAGCGGAAUGAUGAAGAAGCUUGCUUCCUCUGAUUUUAGCGGCGGACGGGUGAGUAACACGUGGGCAACCUACCUUGUAGAUUGGGAUAACUCCGGGAAACCGGGGCUAAUACCGAAUAAUCCAUUUUGCUUCAUGGCGAGAUGUUGAAAGACGGUUUCGGCUGUCACUACAAGAUGGGCCCGCGGCGCAUUAGCUAGUUGGUAGGGUAAUGGCCUACCAAGGCGACGAUGCGUAGCCGACCUGAGAGGGUGAUCGGCCACACUGGGACUGAGACACGGCCCAGACUCCUACGGGAGGCAGCAGUAGGGAAUCUUCCACAAUGGACGAAAGUCUGAUGGAGCAACGCCGCGUGAGUGAAGAAGGUUUUCGGAUCGUAAAACUCUGUUGUAAGGGAAGAACACGUACGAGAGUAACUGCUCGUACCUUGACGGUACCUUAUUAGAAAGCCACGGCUAACUACGUG